Long non-coding RNA from Tachysurus vachellii, 516 nucleotides. RefSeq lists it as uncharacterized. The transcript has 3 exons. NCBI's taxonomy places the organism in Eukaryota, Metazoa, Chordata, Actinopteri, Siluriformes, Bagridae. The record is from RefSeq and is a predicted model, not a curated record.
UAAAACAGGAAAGAAGCAAUCAAGGGUUGAACUAAAGUGCUUUGGUUUCGCCAUCAAGCUGUUGAAUUUUAGUUCAGACUAAUCAUGUCGUGCUCUUCCUUUGCUGUUCUACUCAACAUGGUGUUGUGUUGUGUUUCUGUACCGUUCUGCUGCUGCUGGAGUGUCUGGUGCUGGAUGGGAGGAGGAGCUGGAGCACUAGGAGCUUGUUCGAUCUGCUGGCUGGGCCGUGCUCUCGUCGUACCUAUGACUAGCAAGACAAACUUCUGUGCAACACAGGACUUCAACACAGUAAACCAUGUACUCAUUUACACCAAGCAUUAUUCUCCUGAUCUAAAUCAUUUCUCCUGACUGCUAGCGUGUCACCCAGAAGAGGUUUGUUCCUACUGAGUCUGGUUCCUCUCAUGAUGUCAUCAUUUUUUCCUUGCAGCUGUCACCUCUGGCUUGCUCAUUAUGGAUCUACACACUUGAUGGCAGCAAAGGUCCAUAUUGAAGAAAGAGAGAGAGAGAGAAAGAGAG